This 67-nucleotide transfer RNA is filed under the name unidentified. RNAcentral describes it as "Paradorydium reflexana tRNA-Arg". The record is from RNAcentral.
UAACACAGAAGUAAAAUUUACAUUUAGUUUCGACCUAAAUUUAAGGAAAAUAAACCUCAUGUUUUAA